CACGUAGGCGGAUCUUUAAGUCAGAGGUGAAAUUCCAGGGCUCAACCCUGGAACUGCCUUUGAUACUGGGGAUCUCGAGUCCGGGAGAGGUGAGUGGAACUGCGAGUGUAGAGGUGAAAUUCGUAGAUAUUCGCAAGAACACCAGUGGCGAAGGCGGCUCACUGGCCCGGAACUGACGCUGAGGUGCGAAAGCGUGGGGAGCAAACA
RNAcentral lists this ribosomal RNA (207 nucleotides) under uncultured bacterium. Its description in RNAcentral is "partial 16S ribosomal RNA". It matches the Rfam family "Bacterial small subunit ribosomal RNA", at positions 568 to 774 of the family's 1533-position model. The record is from RNAcentral.